GCUGAGCAUGGUGACGGAUGCUUGUCAUUCCUGCUACUGAGGAAGCUGAGGUAGUAGAUCACUUGAAUUCAGGAGUUCUGAGCAGUAGUCAAGCUAAUGCUGGUGGGUUGUCUACAAUCCAAGUCUAGCACCAAUAUGGUGAGUGCCUGGGGAUCAAAGGACUACCAGGCUGCCUAAGGAGGAAACAAACUGGCUUGGGUCAAAAAUGCAACAAGUCAGAACUUUCAGGUCAGCCAUGGGGUCAGCAGAAUAGCCACUAUACCUUCAGGCUGCACAAGAUAGGGAGACACUGUCAAU
This 297-nucleotide non-coding RNA is filed under the name Phascolarctos cinereus (koala). Lineage: Eukaryota; Metazoa; Chordata; Mammalia; Diprotodontia; Phascolarctidae. The record is from RNAcentral.